GAUGAACGCUGGCGGCGUGCCUAAUACAUGCAAGUCGAGCGAACAGACGAGGAGCUUGCUCCUCUGACGUUAGCGGCGGACGGGUGAGUAACACGUGGAUAACCUACCUAUAAGACUGGGAUAACUUCGGGAAACCGGAGCUAAUACCGGAUAAUAUAUUGAACCGCAUGGUUCAAUAGUGAAAGACGGUUUUGCUGUCACUUAUAGAUGGAUCCGCGCCGCAUUAGCUAGUUGGUAAGGUAACGGCUUACCAAGGCAACGAUGCGUAGCCGACCUGAGAGGGUGAUCGGCCACACUGGAACUGAGACACGGUCCAGACUCCUACGGGAGGCAGCAGUAGGGAAUCUUCCGCAAGGGGCGAAAGCCUGACGGAGCAACGCCGCGUGAGUGAUGAAGGUCUUCGGAUCGUAAAACUCUGUUAUUAGGGAAGAACAAAUGUGUAAGUAACUAUGCACGUCUUGACGGAACCGAAUCAGAAAGCCACGGCUAACUACGU
Molecule: ribosomal RNA, 496 nt
Filed under: uncultured bacterium
Lineage: Bacteria
Description: partial 16S ribosomal RNA
Rfam family: Bacterial small subunit ribosomal RNA
Source: RNAcentral